This is a long non-coding RNA of Ostrea edulis (European flat oyster), 441 nucleotides long. RefSeq lists it as uncharacterized. The transcript is spliced from 3 exons. NCBI's taxonomy places the organism in Eukaryota, Metazoa, Mollusca, Bivalvia, Ostreida, Ostreidae. The record is from RefSeq and is a predicted model, not a curated record.
GAGACGGAUGGCUGUCUGUGAAGAGAAAGCCGUUCUCCCGUAAGACGCAGUGCUGGAAGGCCAACAGCGACUGCUUUGCGCGAUGUAUGCGGACCUGUAAAGAUACAUAGUGAACUCAGUUGCAUCCUAUUGUGAAAGAACAGUUGAAGAGGUUGAGAAUCGUUGGAACGAAGCAAAGACAUCAGUGAAGAAAAAGGAGGCAUUUAGAAAAAGGGAAGCAUCCCAAACGGAGGGAGGAUCACCUUCUGAUGUUGGUUUCAAAGGAUGGAAACUUGAUCUCAAACAAUUGUGGCUGAAGGUGGUGGUUCAUUGCGGACUGAAAUUCUAACUGAACCAAAAACCACAAAUUGCACGGGCAUGAGAGAGGAUAGCCAGUUGUCUGGAAAGCAGGGAGAACAGCAGCCUUGCAGUCUCUCCCAUAAUAAAAUUUAAUUAUUAGAA